UACGAAGGGGGCUAGCGUUGCUCGGAAUGACUGGGCGUAAAGGGCGCGUAGGCGGAUGGCUUUGUCGGGCGUGAAAUUCCAGGGCUUAACCUUGGGGCUGCGUUCGAGACGGGUUGUCUUGAGUGGGGAAGAGGGUCGUGGAAUUCCCAGUGUAGAGGUGAAAUUCGUAGAUAUUGGGAAGAACACCGGUGGCGAAGGCGGCGACCUGGUCCUUUACUGACGCUGAGGCGCGAAAGCGUGGGGAGCGAACAGG
RNAcentral lists this ribosomal RNA (253 nucleotides) under uncultured bacterium. RNAcentral's name for it is "partial 16S ribosomal RNA". It matches the Rfam family "Bacterial small subunit ribosomal RNA", at positions 524 to 776 of the family's 1533-position model. The record is from RNAcentral.